RNAcentral lists this ribosomal RNA (253 nucleotides) under uncultured bacterium. RNAcentral's name for it is "partial 16S ribosomal RNA". It matches the Rfam family "Bacterial small subunit ribosomal RNA", at positions 524 to 776 of the family's 1533-position model. The record is from RNAcentral.
GACGAACCGAGCGACCGUUAUUCGGAAUCACUGGGCUUAAAGGGCGCGUAGGCGGGCCGUCAAGUCAGGGGUGAAAGCCCCCAGCUCAACUGGGGAAGUGCCUCUGAUACUGACGGUCUCGAGGGAGAUAGGGGCGUGCGGAACUUCCGGUGGAGCGGUGAAAUGCGUAGAUAUCGGAAGGAACACCGGUGGCGAAAGCGGCGCGCUGGAUCUCUUCUGACGCUGAGGCGCGAAAGCCAGGGGAGCGAACGGG